AGUAACGCGUGGGUAACCUGCCUCAUACAGGGGGAUAACGAUUGGAAACGAUUGCUAAUACCGCAUAAGCGCACAGUACCACAUGGUGCAGUGUGAAAAACUCCGGUGGUAUGAGAUGAACCCGCGUCUGAUUAGCUAGUUGGUGAGGUAACGGCCCACCAAGGCAACGAUCAGUAGCCGACCUGAGAGGGUGACCGGCCACAUUGGGACUGAGACACGGCCCAG
Molecule: ribosomal RNA, 225 nt
Filed under: uncultured bacterium
Lineage: Bacteria
Description: partial 16S ribosomal RNA
Rfam family: Bacterial small subunit ribosomal RNA
Source: RNAcentral